CCUGCUCAGUGCAGAGGUAAAUUGCUGCGGUAUUCUGACCGUACGAAGGUAGCAUAAUCAGUUGUCUUUUAAUUGGAGACUGGAAUGAAUGGUGUAAUAAGAAAGAGACUUUUAAGGGGCUAAAUUGGAAGUUAAUUAUUAAGUUAAAAGGCUUAAAUAAUAAAAAGUGACAAGAAGACCCUAGAAGUUUGAUACUUGGUAGUUUUGUGUGACUAGUGUGUUUAGCUAAAAUGCUGCUAUAGUGUUUAACUGGGGCGGUUAAAAUGAUAUCUAUUGUUGAAUAAUACUUAAUCAAGAGGAUUGUUUGUAGUUAUAUAUCCUUGUUGGAAUGCGGUGAUAAUUACUCUAGGGAUAACAGCAUAAUCUUCUCUGAGAGACCUUAUUGACGGGAGGGUUUGUGACCUCGAUGUUGGAUUUGAAUAACUGUAAGGAGCAGAAUUUUUACAAGUUGGUUUGUUCAACCAUUAAAUGUCAACGUGAUCUGAGUUCAAACC
Molecule: ribosomal RNA, 494 nt
Filed under: Cylindroleberididae sp. J57076
Lineage: Eukaryota; Metazoa; Arthropoda; Ostracoda; Myodocopida; Cylindroleberididae
Description: partial 16S ribosomal RNA
Rfam family: Bacterial large subunit ribosomal RNA
Source: RNAcentral